GAUGAACGCUGGCGGCGUGCCUAAUACAUGCAAGUCGAGCGAACAGACGAGGAGCUUGCUUCUCUGACGUUAGCGGCGGACGGGUGAGUAACACGUGGAUAACCUACCUAUAAGACUGGGAUAACUUCGGGAAACCGGAGCUAAUACCGGAUAAUAUAUUGAACCGCAUGGUUCAAUAGUGAAAGACGGUUUUGCUGUCACUUAUAGAUGGAUCCGCGCCGCAUUAGCUAGUUGGUAGGGUAACGGCUUACCAAGGCAACGAUGCGUAGCCGACCUGAGAGGGUGAUCGGCCACACUGGAACUGAGACACGGUCCAGACUCCUACGGGAGGCAGCAGUAGGGAAUCUUCCGCAAUGGGCGAAAGCCUGACGGAGCAACGCCGCGUGAGUGAUGAAGGUCUUCGGAUCGUAAAACUCUGCUAUUAGGGAAGAACAAAUGUGUAAGUAACUAUGCACGUCUUGACGGUACCUAAUCAGAAAGCCACGGCUAACUACGUG
This 497-nucleotide ribosomal RNA is filed under the name uncultured bacterium. Its description in RNAcentral is "partial 16S ribosomal RNA". It matches the Rfam family "Bacterial small subunit ribosomal RNA", at positions 28 to 507 of the family's 1533-position model. The record is from RNAcentral.